Molecule: ribosomal RNA, 429 nt
Filed under: Actinomycetes bacterium
Lineage: Bacteria; Bacillati; Actinomycetota; Actinomycetes
Description: Actinobacteria bacterium partial 16S ribosomal RNA
Rfam family: Bacterial small subunit ribosomal RNA
Source: RNAcentral
UAGGGAAUCUUCCGCAAUGGGCGAAAGCCUGACGGAGCAACGCCGCGUGAGUGAUGAAGGUCUUCGGAUCGUAAAACUCUGUUAUUAGGGAAGAACAAAUGUGUAAGUAACUAUGCACGUCUUGACGGUACCUAAUCAGAAAGCCACGGCUAACUACGUGCCAGCAGCCGCGGUAAUACGUAGGUGGCAAGCGUUAUCCGGAAUUAUUGGGCGUAAAGCGCGCGUAGGCGGUUUUUUAAGUCUGAUGUGAAAGCCCACGGCUCAACCGUGGAGGGUCAUUGGAAACUGGAAAACUUGAGUGCAGAAGAGGAAAGUGGAAUUCCAGGUGUAGCGGUGAAAUGCGCAGAGAUAUGGGGGAACACCAGUGGCGAAGGCGACUUUCUGGUCUGUAACUGACGCUGAUGUGCGAAAGCGUGGGGAUCAAACAGG